GGCGGCGUAGCCAAGGGGUCCAAGGCGCUGGUGCGCAACACCAGUAUUCGUUGGUUCGAAUCCAACCGCCGCCU
This 74-nucleotide transfer RNA is filed under the name Planctomycetes bacterium RBG_16_55_9. RNAcentral describes it as "tRNA-Cys". It matches the Rfam family "tRNA". From Rfam's summary of the family: Transfer RNA (tRNA) molecules are approximately 80 nucleotides in length. Their secondary structure includes four short double-helical elements and three loops (D, anti-codon, and T loops). Lineage: Bacteria; Pseudomonadati; Planctomycetota. The record is from RNAcentral.